CGCACAUUGCGCCCACUAGUAUUCUGGUGGGCAUGCCUGUUCGAGCGUCAUUAAGUCCACUCAAGCUUCAUUGCUUGGUAUUGAGAGACUACUCUACCUGUAGCUCCCCAAAGACAGCGGCGGAGUCGUGUCACUCUCUGAGCUUAGUAAUUACUUCCUAGCUUGCGAGAGAGGCGCGUCCCCUGCCGUAAAACCCCCAUCUUUUUAAUGGUUGACCUCGGAUCAGGUAGGAAUACCCGCUGAACUUAA
This 249-nucleotide unclassified non-coding RNA is filed under the name Ascomycota sp. RNAcentral's name for it is "partial contains 5.8S ribosomal RNA, internal transcribed spacer 2, and large subunit ribosomal RNA". The record is from RNAcentral. Lineage: Eukaryota; Fungi; Ascomycota.